Molecule: long non-coding RNA, 358 nt
Organism: Clupea harengus (Atlantic herring)
Lineage: Eukaryota; Metazoa; Chordata; Actinopteri; Clupeiformes; Clupeidae
Exons: 3
Source: RefSeq, a predicted model, not a curated record
UGCCUCAAGAGACGGUCACGGUUGUCUUCUUCUGUGUGGAUGAGCAACUGCUUUGACGUUAUCGGAAAAGGUGUAGAGUGCGGUAGAAGCUAGAAUGCCUACGAAAAAGAGAAGGAUUCAGGAGAGAGAACCAGAUAAAUGAGGCAGCAAAGGGGAGCACAUCUUUGCAGAGUUGGUUACAAAGAAGCAAACCAGCAGAUGAGGAGCAACCACAAGCCUCCAGACCAGAGGAAAAUGUGGACCACGAGACACAUAGGACAGGUAGGCCUAAGUGCUGAUAACUACAACAAAUAACAAAUAUGAGAUGGAAGGACCUUGCUAGAAAGUACAGGGAUAAAGAGCCACAUGCUUAAUAAUU